UGGCUCAGAUUGAACGCUGGCGGCAUGCCUUACACAUGCAAGUCGAACGGCAGCACGGGAGCCUGCUCCUGGUGGCGAGUGGCGAACGGGUGAGUAAUACAUCGGAACGUACCCUGAAGUGGGGGAUAACGUAGCGAAAGUUACGCUAAUACCGCAUAUUCUGUGAGCAGGAAAGAGGGGGAUCGCAAGACCUCUUGCUUUAGGAGCGGCCGAUGUCGGAUUAGCUAGUUGGUGAGGUAAAGGCUCACCAAGGCGACGAUCCGUAGCGGGUCUGAGAGGAUGAUCCGCCACACUGGGACUGAGACACGGCCCAGACUCCUACGGGAGGCAGCAGUGGGGAAUUUUGGACAAUGGGCGCAAGCCUGAUCCAGCCAUGCCCGCGUGAGUGAAGAAGGCCUUCGGGUUGUAAAGCUCUUUCGGUGGGGAAGAAAUUGCUUCGGUUAAUACCUGGAGUAGAUGACGGUACCCGCAUAAGAAGCACCGGCUAACUACGUG
Molecule: ribosomal RNA, 495 nt
Filed under: uncultured bacterium
Lineage: Bacteria
Description: bacterial SSU rRNA
Rfam family: Bacterial small subunit ribosomal RNA
Source: RNAcentral